RNAcentral lists this ribosomal RNA (307 nucleotides) under uncultured bacterium. RNAcentral's name for it is "partial 16S ribosomal RNA". It matches the Rfam family "Bacterial small subunit ribosomal RNA", at positions 506 to 808 of the family's 1533-position model. The record is from RNAcentral.
AGACAGCAGCAGCGCGGUAAUACGUAGGGUGCGAGCGUUAAUCGGAAUUACUGGGCGUAAAGCGUGCGCAGGCGGUUAUAUAAGACAGAUGUGAAAUCCCCGGGCUCAACCUGGGACCUGCAUUUGUGACUGUAUAGCUAGAGUACGGUAGAGGGGGAUGGAAUUCCGCGUGUAGCAGUGAAAUGCGUAGAUAUGCGGAGGAACACCGAUGGCGAAGGCAAUCCCCUGGACCUGUACUGACGCUCAUGCACGAAAGCGUGGGGAGCAAACAGGAUUAGAUACCCCAGUAGUCCCUGUCUCUUAUACA